This is a long non-coding RNA of Lepisosteus oculatus (spotted gar), 2022 nucleotides long. RefSeq lists it as uncharacterized. The record is from RefSeq and is a predicted model, not a curated record. Lineage: Eukaryota; Metazoa; Chordata; Actinopteri; Semionotiformes; Lepisosteidae.
CUUUGUGUAUUUUCAGCUGUAUUUACACAGGAUUUCGACAGACCCCUCCACAUGAAUGCUACAGCUGGCAGCACAGUCAAUCUGACAUGUCUUAAUCAUGGUUCGACGUCCUGCGCUAGUGCUACCUGGCUCAAGGUGGAAUCUGACAGCAGUCUUAUUGUUUCAUUACUCUAUUCAGAUCGGAAUACUGUCACUAGUAACAACGAGAAAGGCUGCACGCUGACAAUAAAGCACUUACAGCACAGCAACUCUGAGGUUUAUUACUGUGCCAAUGAUUCCAGACCUCAACCAAACUCAUUGUGAAAAAUGACACCACUUUAGACCCUUCAGUCUAUGUUAUCCCUCCCUCAAACCAGCUUGUUUUCUCAGAUGGCUUGGCCACUCUUGUGUGCUUGGUGAUUGGGAAGAUUCCUGACUCAGACUCUGUUUAUUGGGAAACCCCAGUUAAUCUGAAGAGCAUUGGAUCCAACAAGACUAAGACAGUCAAACACUCUAUUGGCGAGGACUUGUACUUUAUCAUGAAAGAAGUGAUGGUCCCAGAAGAGACCUGGAAAAGCGGAGAGUCUUUCAGUUGUACUGUGAAAAUGGAAAGCAAGGAAUUCUUCAGCAAAACUAUACAAUUUCCAGUAUAUUGCAGUAGACGUAUAUGAAGAAAGAAGAAAAAAGAGAAUUCUGUAUGGACUGUUGACAACUGUUUCUCUGAUUCUUCUGGUUGUGUUGGCUUUAUUUUUCUACGGACAAAGGAAUUGCAAAGGAGAUCAAAGACCUAAAUGUGCUUCUAGUACACAGCAACAUACAAGAGAAAACUCAUGGGCAAAUACGUUUUUUUAAACUAUUUUUAGGAAACUUCAAAAGUAACUGGUCUUUACUGCACCCUGUUUGAUAAACACAGCCAUUAAAAAAAUGUGACAAAAAGGAAUGAAUGCCUGUGCUCUACAAAGCUUGGUAGCCUAUGGAAGUGAAGUCAGAACAGAAGGACUAGAUGAAAAUGGCAUUUCUACAGGAAGGUAAUCAUGCUGGUUGCUCUGUCUAACUGCUUUAAAUUUCUAAACAGCAACUGAAAGAUGGGAGUUUUGUUUUUAAAUUUGAACAAGAAUAUCAUGCUUUUCUAGAAGGGUUUGAGACUUCACAUUCUAGACAAUUCAUUUACUGUAUUUCAUUUGUCUAAUUAGUCAAUGAAACUCCAUUCAUCAAGAUGAUUUGAACUUUAUAUAUCAUCUUAAUUUAAUUAUCUAUUGGGUUACAAUGUCAAGCUGUCCAUUUCUAAGUAUAAUUCAAGUGCCAAUUGAAAAGAGUCUAUAAACAGUGCAGAAUUAAAUAUGGACUUUAUUAAAAUAUACACAUUCUGUACAGUGCUGGAAAAUUAUUGACUUUCAACCCAAAGGCACCACCUGCAGUGAUUAUAACUAAACCUCAGCCGUCUUUCUGAUCACAAGGAUCAUAUUUGUUAUUAUGAGUCACAAUGUGCUUUAGGCAGUUUACCCGGCUAAGGAUACUUCCUCUCGUAAAUUCAACACUUAUUUGUAGAUACAGUAGAAUUGGCUUAUAAUUCCAAAUUCCAAGUUUUUAAUUGAAUUCCAACCAAGGCUGUGACCGCACCUGCAAGUGGAUUAGACCGAGUCUGCAGGCCGAAUUUUUGACUCCUCAAUUAUAUGGAAUGUCUGCUUAUAAGAGAGUAGAUCAUUCUUUUUAUAGCGUAUAAACAAGUACACAGUUACUGUAUUAGAUGUUUUCUCUAGAGUAAACUGUUUUCUAAAUAGCUCAAAUUUGCUAUUUCAAUUGCAUUUAGGGCUAGCAGACCCUGUAUCCCUCCAGGUUACCAGGAUACCAACACAGUACACUGUAUGUGUAAUUUAAGGAUCAGCUUGAUUUAAGAAAUGAUGGGAAAUCUGAAAUUAACGCACCUGUUUUUUUUCCUAAGAGCAAAAUGUCUGAAUUGUAAUUUAUAUCAUGUCUAGUCACUUGUUAUCUCACCUGUAUAUAGAUGUAGUCUACUAUGAUGAAUAAAAUGUAGCAGCAUUU